CCAGCAGCCGCGGUAAUACGGAGGGUGCGAGCGUUAAUCGGAAUUACUGGGCGUAAAGCGCAUGCAGGCGGCCUGUUAAGUCAGAUGUGAAAGACCCGGGGCGUUAACCUCGGAAUUGCAUUUGAAACUAGGCAGGCUAGAGUCUUGUAGAGGGGGGGUAGGAAUUUCAGGUGUAGCGGUGAAAUAGCGUAGAGAUCUGAAGGAAUACCAGUGGCGAAGGCGGCCCCCCUGGACAAAGACUGACGCUCAGAUGCGAAAGCGUGGGGAGCAAACAGGAUUAGAUACCCCUGGUAG
Molecule: ribosomal RNA, 294 nt
Filed under: uncultured bacterium
Lineage: Bacteria
Description: partial 16S ribosomal RNA
Rfam family: Bacterial small subunit ribosomal RNA
Source: RNAcentral